UACGGAGGGGGCUAGCGUUGUUCGGAAUUACUGGGCGUAAAGCGCACGUAGGCGGCUUUGUAAGUUAGAGGUGAAAGCCCGGGGCUCAACUCCGGAAUUGCCUUUAAGACUGCAGCGCUAGAAUUGUGGAGAGGUAAGUGGAAUUCCGAGUGUAGAGGUGAAAUUCGUAGAUAUUCGGAAGAACACCAGUGGCGAAGGCGACUUACUGGACACAUAUUGACGCUGAGGUGCGAAAGCGUGGGGAGCAAACAGG
This 253-nucleotide ribosomal RNA is filed under the name uncultured bacterium. RNAcentral describes it as "partial 16S ribosomal RNA". It matches the Rfam family "Bacterial small subunit ribosomal RNA", at positions 524 to 776 of the family's 1533-position model. The record is from RNAcentral.